CGCUGUGUGUUAGUUAUGUGUCACACGGGACUGCCGGUCUUAAGCCGGAGGAAGGUGGGGAUUGAUGUCAAGUCAGCAUGGCCUUUAUAUCCUGGGCUACACACACGCUACAAUGGCCAACACAAUAGGUUGCUAAGCCGCGAGGUGGCGCCAAUCCAUAAAGUUGGUCUCAGUUCAGAUUGUGGGCUGCAACCCGCCUGCAUGAAGAUGGAGUUGCUAGUAACCGCAGGUCAGCUAUACUGCGGUGAAUACGUUCCCGGGGCUU
This 265-nucleotide ribosomal RNA is filed under the name uncultured Leptolinea sp. Its description in RNAcentral is "partial 16S ribosomal RNA". It matches the Rfam family "Bacterial small subunit ribosomal RNA", at positions 1106 to 1382 of the family's 1533-position model. Lineage: Bacteria; Bacillati; Chloroflexota; Anaerolineae; Anaerolineales; Anaerolineaceae. The record is from RNAcentral.